RNAcentral lists this ribosomal RNA (407 nucleotides) under uncultured bacterium. RNAcentral's name for it is "partial 16S ribosomal RNA". It matches the Rfam family "Bacterial small subunit ribosomal RNA", at positions 30 to 526 of the family's 1533-position model. The record is from RNAcentral.
AUUGAACGCUGGCGGCAGGCCUAACACAUGCAAGUCGAGCGGAGCGGCAGACGCGUGAGUAAUGCCUAGGAAUCUGACUGGUAGUGGGGGAUAACGUCCGGUAACGGGCGCUAAUACCGCAUACUCUCAGAUGAGCAUAGGUCGGAUUAGCUAGUUGGUUGGGGAAAGGCCUACCAAGGCGACGAUCCGUACCUGGUCUGAGAGGAGGAUCAGUCACACUGGAACUGAGACACGGUCCAGACUCCUACGGGAGGCAGCAGUGGGGAAUAUUGGACAAUGGGCGAAAGCCUGAUCCAGCCAUUCCGCGUGUGUGAAGAAGGUCUUCGGAUUGUAAAGCACUUUAAGUUGGGAGGCGUUACCAACAGAAUAAGCACCGGCUAACUUCGUGCCAGCAGCCGCGGUAAUAC